GCUCAGGAUGAACGCUGGCGGCGUGCCUAAUACAUGCAAGUCGAACGAGUUCUGAUUAUUGAAAGGUGCUUGCAUCUUGAUUUUAAUUUUGAACGAGUGGCGGACGGGUGAGUAACACGUGGGUAACCUGCCCUUAAGUGGGGGAUAACAUUUGGAAACAGAUGCUAAUACCGCAUAAAUCCAAGAACCGCAUGGUUCUUGGCUGAAAGAUGGCGUAAGCUAUCGCUUUUGGAUGGACCCGCGGCGUAUUAGCUAGUUGGUGAGGUAACGGCUCACCAAGGCAAUGAUACGUAGCCGAACUGAGAGGUUGAUCGGCCACAUUGGGACUGAGACACGGCCCAAACUCCUACGGGAGGCAGCAGUAGGGAAUCUUCCACAAUGGACGCAAGUCUGAUGGAGCAACGCCGCGUGAGUGAAGAAGGCUUUCGGGUCGUAAAACUCUGUUGUUGGAGAAGAAUGGUCGGCAGAGUAACUGUUGUCGGCGUGACGGUAUCCAACCAGAAAGCCACGGCUAACUACGUGCCAGCAGCCGCGGUAAUACGUAGGUGGCAAGCGUUAUCCGGAUUUAUUGGGCGUAAAGCGAGCGCAGGCGGUUUUUUAAGUCUGAUGUGAAAGCCCUCGGCUUAACCGAGGAAGUGCAUCGGAAACUGGGAAACUUGAGUGCAGAAGAGGACAGUGGAACUCCAUGUGUAGCGGUGAAAUGCGUAGAUAUAUGGAAGAACACCAGUGGCGAAGGCGGCUGUCUGGUCUGUAACUGACGCUGAGGCUCGAAAGCAUGGGUAGCGAACAGGAUUAGAUACCCUGGUAGUCCAUGCCGUAAACGAUGAAUGCUAGGUGUUGGAGGGUUUCCGCCCUUCAGUGCCGCAGCUAACGCAUUAAGCAUUCCGCCUGGGGAGUACGACCGCAAGGUUGAAACUCAAAGGAAUUGACGGGGGCCCGCACAAGCGGUGGAGCAUGUGGUUUAAUUUGAAGCAACGCGAAGAACCUUACCAGGUCUUGACAUCUUUUGAUCACCUGAGAGAUCAGGUUUCCCCUUCGGGGGCAAAAUGACAGGUGGUGCAUGGUUGUCGUCAGCUCGUGUCGUGAGAUGUUGGGUUAAGUCCCGCAACGAGCGCAACCCUUAUGACUAGUUGCCAGCAUUUAGUUGGGCACUCUAGUAAGACUGCCGGUGACAAACCGGAGGAAGGUGGGGAUGACGUCAAAUCAUCAUGCCCCUUAUGACCUGGGCUACACACGUGCUACAAUGGAUGGUACAACGAGUUGCGAGACCGCGAGGUCAAGCUAAUCUCUUAAAGCCAUUCUCAGUUCGGACUGUAGGCUGCAACUCGCCUACACGAAGUCGGAAUCGCUAGUAAUCGCGGAUCAGCACGCCGCGGUGAAUACGUUCCCGGGCCUUGUACACACCGCCCGUCACACCAUGAGAGUUUGUAACACCCGAAGCCGGUGGCGUAACCCUUUUAGGGAGCGAGCCGUCUAAGGUGGGACAAAUGA
Molecule: ribosomal RNA, 1491 nt
Filed under: uncultured organism
Description: SSU rRNA
Rfam family: Bacterial small subunit ribosomal RNA
Source: RNAcentral